RNAcentral lists this long non-coding RNA (1014 nucleotides) under Homo sapiens (human). Its description in RNAcentral is "HSALNT0263656". The record is from RNAcentral. Lineage: Eukaryota; Metazoa; Chordata; Mammalia; Primates; Hominidae.
GAGUGCUCCAACAGCUCCAAAAUAACCCUGAAAGAAAAUACACCAAAAAUAAGUGCAAUUUUCCUUAGACUUAUUCAAAUCACCUUACACAUGAUGACUAGUGUUAAAGCCAACCACUGCCCACACACAGCAUACCCAUUUCCUGAGCACCCCAGAAGGGCCAAGGCCAGCCUGGGAGCAGAGACGCCCUAAGGAGUCCCUGUCUGGGGAGGGGGCUGGAUGUCCUAGACUAUCCAAGCACUUCAGACCACUGUGAUAAGAGGAAAACCAAACCCGCAGUGAGGGCGACAGGAGCUAUGAGGCCAGCAGCAGCUCAGUUACCUCUGGUAAGAGACAGAACCUGACUGUUUCUGGGGAAUGAGGUGAGAAGCAGCAGAGGCCUGGAGCAUUUCCAGACAACUAAGGAAUGAAGGCGAGGUCGGAUGCAAAGUGCAAUGAAACAGGUGAAGUUGUGAGGUGGGUCACAGAGGGUGAGAGCCCGACUGAGCUGGGAGAGGGAGGGAGAGUAAGAGAUAAGAUGGAUUCAAGAUUCACCCCUAACAGAGGACAGGACAGCAGGAGGGGGCAGCAUCCCCGAGAAAGGGGACACAGGAGUAAGAGGUGUGGAGAGCAAGGCCGGUGGGUGAGUUCCCUACAGGACAUGGGAAGCUGAGGUGCCCACAGCAGCCAAGCAGCUGUGCCCGGGUGGUCACCAGACACCUGGAUCACUGGCCCAGAAGCAGGCGGCACAGGAAUGAAAACCACCACCCAAAGGUAACGUGAAGAGAGGUACAGAACAAAGAGCAAAGCCUGAGGAAGCACGGAGGCUCCCGAGGGAGGGCAGCCCUCAGCCCUCCUGAGACACAGAAGCAGCAGCUGAGAGACGACAAGCACUGUACUGUCUCCAGAAGCAGUCAGGUCACAUGCAACCAAGAACUCAAAACCAAAACACAGGAAUAGCACAUUAGAGAAAACGGGGCAAACCCCAUAAUGACAGAAAAGAGAACACUAGCAAGAAUCAGAGGCAAAUCCUAA